Molecule: long non-coding RNA, 1900 nt
Organism: Oryzias latipes (Japanese medaka)
Lineage: Eukaryota; Metazoa; Chordata; Actinopteri; Beloniformes; Adrianichthyidae
Source: RefSeq, a predicted model, not a curated record
GAUGGAGUCUUAAGUCUGGACACAUUAAUACAAAAAUAGCACACUAUUCUGCUUAACAUCACUACUCAGCAAGUUUUGUUUUUACAGUUACAUUAGCCAUUAAGAAGGACCAAUGGGGAAUUUAGAGAGAGGCACCCAGCUGCAGAUGGAGUACCACACAAUGCUGAAAGUAGAAGCUGUUCCUCUUUAUGGUGCAGGGGAGAAGUGUUAGUCAAAUAAGGUUCAUAGAGUCUGUUUUAUUAAUCGACUUCUUGGUUCUUCUGUUAUCAGACACGGUAGUGUUUAAACAUACCCGACAUGUUCCGACGAACGUUUUCGUCAGAGUCUUCAUCAGAUGGUUAUGUGUGACUGUAACGGUCAUUUGUUAGUCUGUUGUGUUUUGUUUAAUAAAUGUUGGUUAAGUUAUGAGAAGUUUAUUUUGAGGGUAAUUUUAUUUUGAAAAUACCGGAAGUGCUUACCUUGCCUAGCGCACAUUGUAUGGACAGAGAAGAGAGUCGCUGGAAGCAGGAGCACCACGUUUGUAUGCAAAGAAUACCAGAUGUGGAUGAGAGGACACUAAGAGUAACUCCCAUCUCGGCAUGCAGCCAACGAGUUUUCACGGUGGAUUUGGAGAGACCAAAUAAACCCGUUAUGAGAACCAUUUGCGUCUGUAAAUGCCUGGUGUGGAGAAAUAGUGAAAACUCGACUGCUCCUCGACGCGAGUGGAGAAGAAAAAGAGCGCAAGAGCUACCACGCAGCGAGCACGCGCCUGCAGCAUGACAUCAAAGGACAGUCAGAUGAGUGGUUAAAACUUAAGCGAUCGCAAACGUUUGAAGCUACUCUUGACUUGCAUAUUUGGUGCGUCGGACUGAAGCAUGACAAAGAUAUUUACAUCUGGAUUUCAUUUUUGAACUUAAAGUGUGUUUUGAAAUGAGAGAAAUGUGCAUACUGUUUAAUACUCAAGUUAAGUGUUCUAGUGAGUUAAGUGUUUUAAGUUAAGAGUUUGAAAUUUACAUGGUUAAGGUUUACGAAUUUUUAUACUGCAAAGAUAAGUGUUUGAAAAAACAUACAAGAUUUUGUUUUAAGAUAUUGAAUUUUCUGAUUUCAACUAAGUGUUUUGAUUGAAAGGUAAUCAUUUCUAAAAUGUCACAAAAGGGUGAUUUUGCUGUUCAUAAUCAAGGGGAAUCAAAUUCUGAAGAAAAAUCCCCAAAAUUAGCUGAAGAGUUGCUACCUAGACGAAGUCAGAGGGCUAGAACACUAACAGAGAAAGGGAAAGAACUGCAAGAUGAAAAGUUAAAGUCUCUUCAGCAAAUAUUUAACUACAUAUACUCCAAAUGGAAAUCUCAUGUUAAGUUUUCUAAGCAGUCCUUAUCACAGUCUGCAGUGUCACCUUCAGACGAGCUGCUAAAUGAUAUUAUUGGUGAUAUCACAGGUCUUUCUGCAGAUGUUCAGCUUGUUUAUGAAGAACUGCGUAACAUUUCAGGACACAAGGCGAAGAGUAGACCGGUGUGUAAAGGUCUCCAAGUUUGUUGUAAAAAGAGCUUCAAGUCAACUAGAUGGUUAUUUGCCAGCUGAAGAAGAGCAAGGGUGGCCAGAAGCAGGUUCUCUUUUUGACUUUAGCACCUCAAAAUCUGGUUCCAUUUUGUCUUUCUUGAAAAGUGCUUCACAUAUUUCAAAGGACUCGUCUUGUAAACAACAAGAAGUUGCUGCUGAAGUUGCUGCAAAUCAAGCUGUUCUGAAAGUGUUAGAAGAACAAGAAAAAGAGCAGUCAGAAAUACAGAAUCUGGAAGCAGUAGUGAAGAAGAAAAUUGCUGAACAUGAAGCAGCUGUUGUGAGACGUCGUUUGGAACGAGAAGCAGAAGAGGUUAGGCACAGGAUCCAGAGAGAAGAGGAAGAAAUUAAAAUGAAAGCCCAAUUAGAA